AACAGUGUUUGUGUUGACGCGCGGCGCGUAGAUAGAUAGGGCACUGCCGAGUCUGACAAAAUAUAUUAAUUUGCCUAACAUAACCUAGGCAGCUAAUAUCUACCGCCAUGGCACUGUAAACGGAUGGAAAUAGACACGGUUUCAUGCUCGGUAGGUGAACGGAGUCAAUCAACUUUUGGCCGUAGAGCCGAACCGCUGCGCCCCAAAGCACAGACGACUGUGUGGAGGCUGGAGGAGCUACAAUGAGCUCGGAGCACCAGAGCGACAGCGAGGACGCUGAAGGCUCGCAGCAGGACAGGCCCAACAGCAGAGAGGAGAACCCUGACAUCGACGACUCCGAUGUGGAAGAUGACAUCGCACCGAGUGUUUCUCCCUCUCCGCCGGGGAGCAGCGGGAACAGGCCGGAGCGCUGCGGGAACAGGCCGGAGCGCAGCGCGAGGUCUCCGGCGUCGGAGGAGCGAGAGCCCCGCUCCGAACCUGCCGCCGUGCCGCAGAUAGGGAGCGGCGAGGUCUCCAGUACCGACAUCCGCAGGGGGAAUAGCCUGUUUUCCUGGCUUCAGAGCAGGACUAUAAGACGAGGGGUUUUUGUGGACCCAGCUAGGGAAAACUUCAGGACAAUGACCAAUUUAUACUGCUCUAUGAAUCCGGCUGCGGAGUCUGUCAACCUGAGCACUCAGACCCAUGGAGCGGUGUUCAACCUGGAGUACUCCCCGGAUGGGUCUGUGCUGACUGUGGCCUGCGAGCAGACUGAGGUCCUGCUGUUUGAUCCCAUCUCAUCCAGACACAUCAAAACCCUGACGGAGGCCCACGAGGACUGCGUCAACAACAUAAGGUUUUUGGACAAUCGUUUGUUUGCCACCUGCUCCGACGACACCACAAUUGCACUAUGGGAUCUCCGUAAGCUGAAUUCAAAGGUUUGCUCGUUGCACGGCCACGCCAGCUGGGUGAAGAACAUCGAGUACGACACCAACACUCGUCUCCUCGUCACGUCUGGCUUCGACGGCAACGUCAUCACGUGGGACACAAACAGGUUUACAGAGGACGGCUGCCCGCACAAAAAGUUCUUCCACACCCGUUACCUAAUGAGGAUGCGUCUCACACCCGACUGUUCCAAGAUGCUCAUCUCCACUUCCUCAGGGUACCUGCUCAUCCUUCAUGACCUGGACCUCACCCAGUCCCUGGAGGUGGGCAGCUACCGCAUGCUGCGAGCGCGACGGACGCCCCUCAGCUCAGAUGGAGGCACGUCAGCGUCCAGGUCAGCUGGAACUCCUCGCCAGGGAAACGACUCCAGCAAGAUCCACCCUCCUAGAGAAGGUCUUUCUCCCAGGAACAGCCUGGAGGUUUUGACUCCAGAGAUCCCCGGAGAGAGGGACCGAGGGAACUGCAUCACCUCCCUGCAGCUCCAUCCCAAAGGCUGGGCCACGCUCAUCCGCUGCUCCAGCAACAUGGACGACCAGGAGUGGACGUGUGUGUAUGAGUUCCAGGAGGGCGCGCCCACCCGCCCGCUGGUCUCACCCCGCUGUUCCCUCCGCCUCACCCACUACAUCGAGGAGGCCAACGUUGGCCGGGGCUACAUCAAGGAGUUGUGUUUCAGCCCGGACGGACGACUCAUCUGCUCCCCGUACGGCUACGGCGUCCGCCUGCUGGCCUUCGACGAGAACUGCGGCGAGCUGGUGGACUGCAUGCCCGUCCAGACCAGCUGCCUCCGGGAGAUCCGCUCCAUCUACUCGCACAGCGACGUGGUGCUCACCACCAAGUUCUCCCCGACGCACUGCCAGCUGGCCUCGGGCUGCCUCAGUGGACGCGUCGCCCUUUACCAGCCCAAGUUUUAGCAACUGGUGCUGUCAAAGAACAAUGCAUUGCAGACCUGGGUAAAGAAGUGCUAAUCAGGGUUCCUGCACAGAUCUAGGAAUAUGAAAAAUAAGAAUGUCCCAGCCACUGUUUGUACAACUACAUAUUUUCAAUGAUUUAUAACUCCUAGCCUAUUAUAGCUACACAGUAAGAUGGCAUACUUGGGAUCCUUUGGUAUAAAUGAUGUCAAAACCAUUGGAGGCAAAUUCAGUGUUUUUAAAAAAUCUGAAUUUGUAGGAACCUUGAAUAACAUUUCCAAGCAUUUGUUUUAAAGUGCUCAAAUGGACCAGGUGGGUGGGCUUUUUCUGCAUGCAGAUAUUUCAAGUAGUCGGACAUGCAGUAUAAAUGGAAUCUUGUGAUUUCUCUUUACCCUCUGCCAGACAAUCCGUAUGGGAAAACUCCACCCAUCUGGUACCUAAAAAGGGAUAAACCUUAAAAACACAUUUAAAGUAUUUCUAAACCCAGGUCUGUAGCUGUGAAGCAGACAGAGUUUGUUUGGGUGGGGACUGAAAAAAAAAGAAGAAAAUUUUAAGAAGAAGUCUUCAGCCUUGACCAGGCUGCAGUAGUGGAUUGUAACCUUAAGCCUCUCGAACCCUGAACUUCAAAAACGAACAAAAAAAAUAACGACUCAAAGCAGACUCUCAUCCAGACUGAGGAGCGGCUUAAAAAUUCCAAACCUUGAAGCUCAAGAGAUGCCUCAGUGGAAAAACAAACUGUGGCUCUUUUUCAUACUAAAGAUUAAUUUUAGUCUCUAAAUCAGUAGAAAACGUUGACUCAUUUUGAGACUGCACAUCCAGAUGUUCGCCGUCUCGGGACAAAAACACUAAGGAUGCAAACAAGCAAGCAAACGGGACAGAUUUUAAUGCGACGAGAACCAAGCGCUCGUGUCUGUCAUCCGCGCCGUCGGCGAUUGUUUUGACUGGGCUUCCUCAGCUGCUCCGCUCUGCUCAUGCCUUCUUCACAGGUGCUGCUUCUCUGCUCAUACAAUCUGAACUUUGACCUCCGACUUCAAGGACCUCAUUAUUAACGCCUUUACCCGCCUGUUUCUCUUUGAUUUCCUUCAUGGUUUUUAGUGGUGUAGGUUUUUAGUGGUUUUAUUGGUGUAUUAAUGUCGGCACUACUCGUUCACGGUGUUUGAUUCACUUGAUUCUAUGCGAUUCCCUUUUUUUUGCCAGCGUUAAGCACUAGCUACUUUGGAAUCCCUUCUCAUUUCCCUUCACAGUACGUGUGUUUUUAUCUUAAGCCUGUGAAUGGAAACUCCAUGCUGUCUGGACGAAUAGAAAAGUCCAGCCACUUUCUGUGCAAACCGUUUUGCAUAAUACUAUAUACUAUUUACAAUUACAUAUUUUGUCCUCAAAAGAUACGGCUGGCAUUAUUCUGUAUUUUUUUUGGCAUGGAGCACAGUAGUCUGUAUGUCUGUAAUUUCAGCUGACCACUGUAGUUUUAGCAAACAUUACUUAAACAGAAGCAAAUGGUGAAGUUGUUGAGGUCUACUUUAAGCUGUGGAGUAAUACACAAUUAGUGUUCGAGUGAGUAUUCACGGCAGCAGGAUGGUGUAUAUGGAAUGAUAAAAAACUUCAGUUUAUUAUAAAAAAAAAGGAACAUGUAAGCCAGUGCAACUGAGCAGCUCACUGAUGUGUUUUUAGUGUUUGACAAACAAUGGAGCUCUCUGGCACAGUGGAAUGAAUGAGAAAUCAAUAUUUAGCCACACAGACAAUACUUAUUAUUAUAGAAUCAAUUCAUAGCUGGUUUUGGUGUUUUCAUGGGUGUUAUUGAUACUAAGAACAAUAUAGAAUAUUGCCAGCCUCAUCCUUUAAUUUAACAGCUUGUUGACUUUUCAGCCAACAAUUCUUGGCAGAAGAAGUUGCCUCAGCAUUGUUUGUUUUAACCUUUCUAGGAUGAAAUUGUUGCAAAGAAACAUUGGACUGUUUUUUUGACCUUGUACCUCAUUUUGUUGUUUUUUGAAGAACGUGUUGAUCCACAUCAGUGUUUGAUUUUUCUUCCCCCCCAUUGCAUUACAUCCAGUUUCUUACUUUUACAAUGUUGUCAUAAAGGUGACCCAUUUGUUUUCUUCUCGAAGGACUGAAUGGAUUGCUUAGACUGUUCUAGAAUUGGCAAUGCUUCUGUGUUUUCAACCAGUGUGGUAUAGCUGCUGUAGGAGCCAAGCACACAAGUGGAUGUCACUCCUUAAUGUAAACUGGUUACAGUGCAUACUGACUGACUGCAGAAUAGAUAUUACGUGUAAAAAAAAAACUAAAUAAAAAAAAAGACAGACAUUAGUAUACUACUAUGCAUACCAGCCUUUAUGAAGAUUGUCCUUUCUUAUUUAUGCCAGGGUGAUGCCCUGUGUGCAGCUGUCAGAUGCCAAAAUAAUGUUUUGCUUGGACAAGGCAGUGCUUCUCCUCUGUAGAGUAACAUUAAUUGUGAGCUGAAAAAUAAAGGGGGAACAUCUGCUAUUAUCUAUUUAAAAAAAAAAAAAAAGUACAUGUGGCAAAAGCCUAAUUUGCUAAAGAAUGGUUUGACAUACAAAUACGCUUAUUCACUUUCCUGCAAAAAGUUAGUUGAGCGGAUUGAUACUUGUCUCAUUGUUGUCAGUUAAAUAUGAAGCUACAGCUAGCAGCCGCUUAGCACAGAGACUGCAAACAGUACAAACUGCUGGCCAACGGCCAAAGAAGUUGCCCACCAGUACCUCUUAAGAUCGCUAAUUAACAUAUUAAAUUUCGUUUCUUUAAUGAGUAUAAAACAGAAGUGUAAAACCAAAAAUGUGCUGUUUUACGUGGGUUAUGUACCAGACUAUUUAUUGGCAUGGACCACAACUCACUGGCGUCUGCGCUGGUUGCCUGGCAACUAAACAAAGAACUAGCUAGCUAGCUAGCUAGUCCGCGAACGGCGAUUUGUUGUUUUUACAUUUCUUUUUUUUGUACGGAUGAAACCAUAGACCGUAAAAAUAAUGAACAUGAAACAAACGAGACAUAAUGUUUUAAUAAGCGAGCUUUACAGGUGCUAGCAGUUGGGAUUUGUUGCCGCGAGCCCGGCUAGCUGUUUCCCACUGUUUCAACUUAGCUAGCUAGCUAGCUAGUUAGCGCUCUUGUAUCUUCUCAUCUAACUCGGCGCCAGAAAGGCUUGUCUCUGGGUCUUCUUCAGUCCCUCGUCCCGUCUCCUCUCAUGCUCUCCGGGCUCUCCUGGCCUGCCGCAGCCGCUCACUCUCCCUGCGCUGGUUGAUGGCCCUGGUGCUGGCGCGAAGCUUGCGGAGCCUCAGAGCCCGAAGACGCAGCUGAAGGUCCUGGGGGAUCUUCCCUCCCUUGGCCCGGAUCUCCUUCAGCCUCUGAAUGGGCGUUUUGGUCAGGGUGAAGUCACAGAUGGUGGGAUGUGGCUCCAUUCCAACGCGGCAGUGACGCGCAGACGGGAAGUAACCCUCAGCCCAAACCACCACCUUGUACUCACCCGGAUUCAGGAGACGCCAGUAGUCCCCGUCAGUGGCUGAGGAAAUAAAAACAAGACACCUGAACCCUGAACCCUCUAGCCUGAAACCUGGAACCUGUACCUGCCUCCCGCCCCAUUCCUCUUCGGCUGUGGACUUCUAUUUGGACUUGCUACGCCACCUACCAUCGACACGGCAGCCGAGUAUCUCAGCCCUGAGGCAGAUGGUGCCAUUGGAGUACCAGGUCUGAGGGUUGAUGCGGAUGAAACGGGCGACGGUAGGAACAGGAAGGACUCCGAGCACCGGAGUCUCUGGAUUCUGGUUUCCUUCAAAUAUCUGUACAAUUCAACGCAACAUCACAUAGCAGCAGUUUUAAAUUCCAUUUUGGAACCAAACCUCUUCAGAUUUGAAUCCUGAUACUACCUGACCUCCAGAUGGAGUUCCGGCCCUGCAGGAUGACUCCAGUGAACAGGGUGAGGUGGAUGGCAUCCACCUCCAGCCACUGGUGCCGGUCCUCAUGCUCAGCACACCAGGCUCCGUCGUACAGAUCUAGACCCACCUGGAUAUUCAGCCUGCCCCUGUGGGGACCCAGACCCGUCCGCUGGUAGGAAGAAGCCUGAAUCUGGCUGUCAUCGACCCGCAGGGAUUCCAGGCCGAGAGGAGGACAGUCUGGAAGGAAAUGGAUAUCAAAUCUUCUGCGGGUUUGUGUCUGUGCUUGUCCGGAGAUGCAGCUCUUUAAAGAAACAGGUCUGGGACUGACUGCUGAGGGGUUAAAAAACUCUCCCUCUUGUUUCUCUGAGUAAGCAAACACAUGGCUGAUGUAAUUAGAGGUCCCAGCGGUUGUUAUGUGGAAUAUCUCUAAUCAUCCAACGUCAGUUCACUGGAAGUUUGGAGGCCCUCUGCCAAGGAAACCGCAGAUAAGCGGAUCCGUGGAGGGUUUGAAUGUAACUUGAGACAAAGUUGAGAGGCAAGAGAGAGUAAAGUUAAACGUCCAGCAGAGCUACAGCUGCAGGGUAUUUUAUGACUUUGGGAAAAAGCAAUAACAGAACCAUCAAUCACAAAAACUACAAGUACUGGCAGGACCAACAGCUAUGUUUGUGGAGCUGGUAGGCAAUUAGGGUUAGGGAUUAGUCAUUUUUGCAAAGAAAUCACUAUCUCCAGUUUUUCCAAGUAGAACAUAUUUCCGGGUCUUCUUAGUCUACUUCUUAGUAAAUUGAAUAUAUGAGUUUUGGACUGUUGGACCGACGGCCCCUUGGGCUUUUUUUGGCACGGUUUUCUGACAAGUUAUGCAGCCUGUUCCAUCUCAAAUCAAACAUAAACUGUGUUUUUAUUUAAAUGUGCAAACAGUUACAAUAAUAUAUAAGGUAAUAUUUGAUUUCACUUAUUUACAGAUCUUUUCAUUAGCUAAUCCUCUACACAGCUUUAACAAAUACUCAAUUAGUUGCAAAAUAUUUACUGGUUCCAGCUUUUUAAAUGUGAAUAUUGUCUGAAUUUUUUCUGGCAUAUUCAAUCAUCAAGAAAGUAAUUGAUAAAAAAGAAGAAGUAAUUGUUAGCUAAGUGGAGUCAGGAGCAAAGGGUCUCUGAAAGGCAUCAUUAAUGAAUUGCACUUAACUCCCUGGCUUCUCAUAGCUUCACGCUAAAAUUAAAAGUAAAACAGAUUGUUGUCCUACCCAGUUCUGUUUUCUUAUGUUCUUUCUUGCUGUCAUCUGUUUCUUCUUCUUUAUUGUUGCUUUCUUCUUCGCUGUCUUGGCUGAUGUUUUUGGUGUCCAGCUGUUUGUCUCUGCCAGCGGCGGGGGUUAACUUUCCCUGUGCUGCUGUUGGAGUCGGUCGAUCUGUGCUGUGAUCCUGCGGCUGCACGGUGACAGACUCAGCCGUAGUAGUGGUGUUGUUGUUGAAUAAUGAAUUAAUCUCAGUUGUUGUAUGGUCUGUCAGCGCUGAGUCAAAAAAUCCUCCCAGAAAAAUCACUGCAGCCAACGUGUACAAUGACCUUUCCAUCUUCCUUUUAGUUUGCUGCUGCAGAGUGAGGGGGAAAAUAAAAUUCUGGGCCAGUUUAUGUGGAGAUGACAGAGAGCCAGACCUCCAUCCACAUCCCUCCUCCUUAAUCCCACCUCCCCUCACCCUCCCUCCCUCUCUCCCUCCCUCCCAAAAAUUCCAGCUCCCGGAAAGAAAUGGGAUUCAAAAAGACUUGAAUGAUUGCGGUUUACAUGAUGUGGGUUGUGUGUACAUCAGUGACCCAUUUAUUCAACUAUCACAUACAAAUAUUAACUUAUUAUAUGAUGAUAGUAUGACAAGAAAAGUUAACAUUUCUGCACAAUUUACACCACAUUUGUUUCAUCUUCUAAUCUCUUUUUUUCUCUCAUGACACGAUGGAAAGUAACAUUUACACAAAUAAAACUUUAACUCAAAAGAAUUUACAAGCCAGCAGAUAAAGUACAUAAAGUAAUGAGAAUAAGCUCCACCUUUACCAGCUUCAACAUUAUAGUGACUGCUAAUUCAAUUAGCAUAAUAAGGGACUUUGAAUCUUCGCCUCUAUUCCAGAUAAGCUGACUUCUUUAUGCAUUAAUGGUGCCAUCCCAAAUCCCUUAAAGGUGCCCUUCCACACAAAACCGUUUCUACUUGCAUUUUUUUUUAAAUCUGUUAGGUCCAUAUGUGUUUGUGUUAUGUU
RNA transcript from Perca flavescens (yellow perch), 7937 nucleotides. It is a transcript of the gene named WD repeat domain 32, with no coding region annotated. The transcript is spliced from 12 exons. The record is from RefSeq and is a predicted model, not a curated record. Lineage: Eukaryota; Metazoa; Chordata; Actinopteri; Perciformes; Percidae.